RNAcentral lists this unclassified non-coding RNA (824 nucleotides) under Hevea brasiliensis (rubber tree). The record is from RNAcentral. Lineage: Eukaryota; Viridiplantae; Streptophyta; Magnoliopsida; Malpighiales; Euphorbiaceae.
UUAAAAUUAAACAGAAAAAAAAUGUGCAGGUGGCAUGAGUGAGAGAAGAAGAAGAGAGAAGAAAAGAAGAAAAAAAAAUUACACAAUACAAUUACAAAACAUAGGAAGUCAACAUCCAUUUCCACCAUACAAGAAAUUCAUCUGCGAAAGAUUCAUCAUGGAUCAAUCUCAAAUCCAAAAGUCAAGAACCAACCAAAACCAACCUAAGUAUUAGUUUAAACAUGACAACAAGGAAUAACAGUAUGAAGUUUUCAUUAGAAGAAAUAACAAGACAAUUUGAAUAGACUAGGAAACCCAUUUAUCACAAUGAACACAGUGCAAUAUAAAAUACCCAUAGACAUCAACAAUUACAUGAAUUCUUAAUCAAAAUAACUGAAACAAAACUAGAAACAGAUUUUAUUUUCACCUAAAACCCAGAUAGAACAAGUAAUCUGAGCAUGAAGAAAUGAAGUGGAAAUUUGGACAAGUUGCAAUGCCUCAUCUGCCUUUAGUAGCAUGUUGGCAGAAUGACAAAUGUGAUAGAGAUUCAGUGUUGCAUCCAAUAUAGAGGGAUUGAUUUGUUGAUUCAAUUUGGGUGAUAUGGACAGAACCAAAGCCGCAAACGAGGAGAACAAGGUUAUACCGAUUCUUUUUGUGGUGCAAAGAUUUGAAAUAGGGGUUAUGAGUGAAGAGAAUCAUGGGUUUUAUGGGAGCUCAACUAUUGUUAUGUGAGAGAGGAGUGAUUCAAGAUCAAGGAAGCAUGGGUCACAGGUUCUGCAAGAAGAGGAAAGCAGGGAUGUCAUUUUGGAGUUAAAGUGGAGUGGCUUUUGUGAGGAAGGACUUUG